RNAcentral lists this long non-coding RNA (2778 nucleotides) under Equus caballus (horse). Its description in RNAcentral is "lncRNA (ENSECAG00000033333.3)". Lineage: Eukaryota; Metazoa; Chordata; Mammalia; Perissodactyla; Equidae. The record is from RNAcentral.
UGCAGGCUACAUACAGUCUUUGUCACAUAUUCUUCUUUUUUUAAAACAAUGCUUUAAAAAUGUAAAAAUCACUCACUGGGAGCUAAGGAGGAGGUGGUGGGAGAGAAGCAGUGUAUAAAACUGAGGCCAGAGGCCCUCAGGUUAUAAUUUGCCUACGCCUGUAUGACAUCACAGUGGGACAGACUGACGAAACAUGAUUUUGCUAUGCAAGCUUUGGGAAAUCAUUACGGGCUGGUUGAUUGAUUUCCCAUUCCUGAGUCAUUCUUUUGGUGAUGGGGAGAUGAAUGGCUCAAGUCACCACCAACCCUCCUUUGUAGCCAUAUCGUUAUGGAGUAAACUUGAGUUACUCCAAAACAGAAAAAACAAACAAGAGGAUCAAAGUGUACGUCUCUGCUGGAACAAACAGAAGCGGAGAGGCAGGGAGAAGACUGAGCUCUCGGCGGAUUUUGCUGAAAUGUUCUAUUUGUGUAGCAGUGAUUUGUACCGGACUGCUGACUGUCAACUCAGAAGACAGGAUGGAGGAACUUGCCUGUUAGGGCCUGAUUUCCUCCACAUACCGGAGACCGGAAUGAAAUUGUCCCUCCUUUGUCUUAAGGAAAAAUCGUGGGAAUGUUCAGAAGACCCACGUGGUUGGCGUGCACACUUGUGCCUGGGCGGGGCUCCCGUGAAGAUCACCAUACCUGGAAUUGUGUAUAGUGCACCAGUUUGUUCUGACACAGCGGAAGCCCUUCAUCCUUUUGCUCACCCGAUGGUUCUAUAAAAGCGAUUUCUCACUCUCGGGCUUUGCAGGAGCCAGCGUGGUUGCCAACGACUUCGGUCCCCACCCAGUACAACUUCAGCACGGGUGCCCUAAAAAAGGAAACCUGUUUCCCUCCUCCCAAGUUUCUGGUUUCUCCACCCAGUCUCCCCACAGCCCUCUGCUCCCGCACCCAGGCCUUCCGGCCUCCGCCCAGCCUCGGAGCGGCGCCCGACAUUCCAGCUUCCACUUUGAUCCUUACAAAUGAAAAGGCACGGCUGGCCGUGGAGUGUUCGGCCGUGAACGAAGCUGCGGGACAGAGGCAGCGCCAUCUCAGUCCGUCUGUCCGUCAGUCCAGGAGGAGCAGGCCGCGCGGGUGCUCCGGGAGCUGCGGCGCCACGCUGCCCGCAGGCUGCACGGGGAGCCCACUGGCAGGCCUGGGCUGUCACUUCCCGCCUCUGCCCUCCCCAGCUUGCCCUUGACAGCUCUCUUCUUUGAUCUGUAAAAUGGGAGACAAUAGGAGACACUUUGAUAUUCUUCAAAAGCUGCGGGGAUUUGCUGUUUUCUCCCGAAAUAAAGGGCUUGUAGAGAGUUUCUUUGAGAACUGGAAGGAACAUGCUGUCACAUGUAAUCUAACGAGCUCGGCCUCCUCUUCCAGUGCCCAUUAAUCAAUCAUCCAACACUGGAAACCUGUGGCAAGGCUUCUGUGUGCUGUGGAGAAGCAAGGGCAUGGUCUCUGCUUUUAAAGCAUUUAUGGGCUAGCUGGGGAGAUGAACUGUGUAUAUAUGAGCAUAAAACAUGACAAUAGCCAACAUUUAUGGAGUACGCCCCGUGUGCCAGGCUCAGUGUGGCGCUCUCCUUUACUCCUCUGACACCCCAUCAAGUAUGUGCUGUGUUAUCAUCUCCAUUUUAUAGACUUUUUAGCAGGAUCACUUGCCCUCCGGGUCACACAGUGUGCGGGCAAGUCAGACUGUGCAUACAGGCCUGGCUGACUGCAGAGGAAGGAGCUGCGUUUGCAAGCUCGAAUCUGUGCAGCGUUCAGUGAAGAUUAGUUCCUGAUGUUUAACUGAGCUCACAGAAACAAGAUGGAAGGUUUAUCAAUGAGUUGCCUCUAGGAAACACCUGAUAAGGACCUGAUUUUGAUGAUCGGAUCCUGUACUUCCAGCCUGAGCCUAAGCCAGAGCCUGACGCCAUAGUGGACAGUCCGGGGAAGGAAUGAGUAUAUUUUUCAUGUGAGAGGCGUGGUAGCAUUUGUGGCCAGAGGGAUAGCUGUGGCAGUUUUAAAACACAGCUGCAAAUUCAUUGAGACAUGGGGUCGUGUCCACUUUCCUUGAAUCUGGGUGGACUUACGGCUGCUUUGAAAAAUAGAGUAUGACAGAAAUGAUGCUGUGUGACUUCCAAGGCUAGGUGAUAUAAGACCUGGCAGUUUCUUCUUGGUUCACUGCAAUACUUGCUCUGGAACCCUGAACUGCCAAGCCUUGAAGUGUCCACUGUGGCCACUUCGCAUUGCCAAGCAAGAGGUGACCACUCAGAGACCAUCGUCCUGGAGAGUCCUCUCAUAAGGGUUCUGGUCAACAACUCCUGCUGAGUCCACCCUUCCGGUCAUCCCUGCCAAGGUGUAAGACUUGGUAGUGAAGCAGUUGUGGACCCUUCAGACAAGCCCAGCUGCUCGUUAAAUACCCUUGGAUUACUUACCUUAACACCACGUGGAACAGACGAAUCACCCAGCUGAGCCCUGCCCAAAUUACAGACCCAAACUGUGAGAGAUGAUGAAAUGGUUGUUCUAAGCCACUGAGUUUUGAGGCAGUUUGUUAUGCAGAAAUGGCAACCAAAUGUCACAGAUACUAUUGUUAGUACCGUUUUAUAUAUGAAGGAACUGAAGUUCAGAGAGAUGCUCCUGGCGGCAGUUUGCAGCAGUGUCUGGGGAUGCAAUUUUCCUACGAGAAAAUGGAGCAUUUUAAAGCUUCGCUGCAUUGCCCUGCAUCAAGAAUAAGUGAACCAGAUUCAGAAUUCUUUUAAUUUUUGAACAUUAAAAAACUUGC